CUCUGUGACGGUGCUGUGUCUCGCGCCUGCCCUGUGUGGAUUCCUGGCUUUAACUAAACACAGCCUCUCAUCCUUAGCACGGGUGUCAGAGGAGGAGGAGGAGCCGGAGGCCCUCUCAGUGGCCAGCACCUGCCAGCUUGUCUGGGACUCUCCAGCAGCUGCUGGGAGGCAUCCUGUGUGGUCACCUGUCACUCCCUGGAUGGCAAGUGCCAGCUGAAGCGCAGAGCCCUCGCCCGCCUACUAUGAGUUCAUCGGCGUCCGCGGCUGCCAGGACGUGCUGCACCUGUACCGCCUGCUCUGGGCCUCUGCGGUUCUAAACGUCCUGGGCCUGUUCCUGGGCAUCAUCACCGCCGCCGUCCUGGGGGCCUUCAAGGACAUGGUGCCU
Molecule: small RNA, 385 nt
Filed under: Pongo abelii (Sumatran orangutan)
Lineage: Eukaryota; Metazoa; Chordata; Mammalia; Primates; Hominidae
Description: processed transcript
Source: RNAcentral